RNAcentral lists this non-coding RNA (747 nucleotides) under Bombus ignitus. The record is from RNAcentral. Lineage: Eukaryota; Metazoa; Arthropoda; Insecta; Hymenoptera; Apidae.
AAAAUUUUAUAAUGAUUUUUAAACUAAUAAUAUUUUUUUAUUAUUAUAAAAUAAUUUAAUAUUAAAAAUUAAUUUAAUUUAGUGAUUAGAUUUAAAUGAUUAAUGAAAGUUAAAUUUAGAGAAAAAUUUUAGUAAAGAUUAAAAUUAGUGCCAGCAAUAGCGGUUAAACUAAUUUUGCAAAUUAGUUUAAUUAAUUAAUAUUAAUAUAAAAUUAAAUAAAAUUUAAUUAAAUUUUUAGAUUUUAGGUGAAAUUUAAUUUUUAAAUAUAUUAAAUUUAAUAUUUAUAAAUAUAAUAAGAUAUAUUAAUAAACUAGGAUUAGAUACCCUAUUAUAUAAAAUAAUAAUAUUUAAUUUAUAAAUAAAUGUAUAAUCAUUAAAAUUAAAUUAUAUGGCGGCUUUUCAUUCUUAUUAGAGAAAUUUGUAAUUUAAUUUGAUAAUCCACGAUAAGAUUUACUUAAAUUUAAAUUUAUAUAUUGUUGUUUAUUUUGAAAUAAAAUUUAUUAUUAGUAAUAUUUAAUAAAAUAAUAAUUCAAAUCAAAAUGUAGUAUAUUUAAGAAUUUAUGAAUUAUAAUAAAUUUAAUUUUUGAAUAAUUAAAAUUUUAAUGUUAAUUUGAAAGAGGAUUUAAUAGUAAAUUUAAUAAAUUAAUUAAAUUGAAAUUAGUUUUGAAAAGUGUACAAAUUGCCCGUCAAUUUCCUUUAAGGAAUAAGUCGUAACAUAGUAAAAAUAUUGGAAAAUGUUUUUAGAAU